This 407-nucleotide ribosomal RNA is filed under the name uncultured bacterium. Its description in RNAcentral is "partial 16S ribosomal RNA". It matches the Rfam family "Bacterial small subunit ribosomal RNA", at positions 29 to 526 of the family's 1533-position model. The record is from RNAcentral.
AUUGAACGCUAGCGGGAUGCCUUACACAUGCAAGUCGAACGGAGUGGCGAACGGGCGAGUAAUGUAUCGGAACGUGCCCAGUAGCGGGGGAUAACUACGCGAAAGCGUAGCUAAUACCGCCUACUAUUGGAGCGGCCGAUAUCGGAUUAGCUAGUGGGUGGGGUAACGGCUCACCACGGCGACGAUCCGUAGCUGGUUUGAGAGGACGAACAGCCACACUGGGACGGAGAACCGGCCCAGACUAAUACGGGAGGAAGCAGUGGGGAAUGUUGGACAAGGGGGGAAACCCGGGUCCAGCCAUCCCGCGUGUGCGAUGAAGGCCUUCGGGUUGUAAAGCACUUUUGGCAGGAAAGCGGUACCUGCAGAAUAAGCACCGGCUAACUACGUGCCAGCAGCCGCGGUAAUAC